UUUUUUAUAGGGACAUGGGGAUCCAAUUAUUUAAAUCACACAUAAUGUGUGAUCAGAACAUUCAGAGCAAGACUAUACACGGGACUCUUCUGUUGAUUGAAAAAGAAAGAAAUGGCGAGGCGGUUGAUCGAUGUUUGAUUCAAAGACUUUUAAAUAUGCUUUCUGAUUUGGAACGACCUGAUCUGAAGAAGCAAAAACAUCCUUAACUGACAGAGACUACAUUGAAAAAUACAAGGAGAACCCAAACCAGCUGAAGUAUAUUGCAUAAAAUACUGGCCUUAACCUGAACAGAAGGUCCUCAUGGUUCUGUCCUUGGAAUAAGCAUUGGUGUCUGAAUAAAUGCAAUAUAUUAAAAAUAUAAAUGCAGAAUUAAAAUUUGCAUCAACAUUAUCAGUUAAA
Manis pentadactyla (Chinese pangolin) is the source of this 399-nucleotide long non-coding RNA. RefSeq lists it as uncharacterized. The transcript is spliced from 2 exons. The record is from RefSeq and is a predicted model, not a curated record. Lineage: Eukaryota; Metazoa; Chordata; Mammalia; Pholidota; Manidae.